GUGCUUGUCUUGCAGGCCAGCUGCUGUGCAGUCGCCACCCACUUGUGAGUCGCUGAUAAUGCGGGUGGACGCAUGGUAUGACUUCAAGGCCGAAGCCAUGCACAAAUUGUAAACAUGGCUGUCAA
Long non-coding RNA from Drosophila navojoa, 125 nucleotides. The record is from RefSeq and is a predicted model, not a curated record. NCBI's taxonomy places the organism in Eukaryota, Metazoa, Arthropoda, Insecta, Diptera, Drosophilidae.